Small nucleolar RNA from Rattus norvegicus (Norway rat), 147 nucleotides. Ensembl annotates it as small nucleolar RNA SNORA48. The record is from Ensembl. Lineage: Eukaryota; Metazoa; Chordata; Mammalia; Rodentia; Muridae.
UGCCACCUGACAAAGUUUAAGGAGACACCUUGUUGACAGUGUUGAUCUUAUAUUAGUCAGGGGCAGAGCAGAUGGAUGUGCUUCGUUCAUCCUAGCAUGAUGCCUGACUUGGCAGCCAAAGCUAUCUCUUAUGUCUAGAAUUCAUAA